AGCGAUUGGCCCACGUGGGGACUGAAUUCAGCAUCUUGGCCUUGUCAGCACCCUGCUCCAAGCACCUGAGCAACCUCAGGCUCAUGAGGAAGGAUUUACCCAACAGCUGUAAAGGUGCUCAUUCCAUGCCCCUUUCCAAGGAGAAAUGAGCAGGACAAGCCCUGAGGGAUCACUUGGUCCAUGGCCAGAGUUCUUCAGGAGAGUGUCAGGGCUGGUCCCACCUGCAGAGGGGCGUUUCCUGCAGGUGAGUGUUCACAGCCCAAAAUCCCUGCUGGGGCUGGGGCCACUUUCCUGGCCCGGAGCUGCACGGAGCCCUUGGUGACUCCCACUCCCAGGUGGGAAUGUUCCUUGGUGUUUCCUCAGUGGUCCCAGCUGGCUGGGAAUGCGGGGCAGGAGGAGGCCGGGAGCCCAGGAAGGGACCCAGCACCUCCUGCCCUCGGUGUUUGCGGGGAGGAGCUGUGCCUCAGUGUCCCGCCACACCCGCAUCCCGGGGAUGGGCAGCGCUGGGAUGGACGUGGAUCGAGGGCUGCCCGCGGCUCCUCGGCCGGGGGCUGCUCUGACGGGCUCCGGAGCUGCUUCAGCCCGGACAGGCCCCGCCCGCAGCCCAGAAUUACCGAGGAACAGCUGGAACAUCUGGCCUUACCUGGGAAUGUCAGCGCGGUGCGUUUGAGGAGGGGCUCAGGCAGCAAUUCCCGGUGCCGACCUCCCGGAGCUCCUGCAUACCCCCAGGUGUGUCCCAGCCCCCCAAACCCCUUCCCUCCCAGCCUGGGGCCAUCAUCCCUCAGCAGCGUUAAAGCCAAGGGGAUCUUCCCCCCAGAAAUGAAACCCCAAGCAAUGCCCUCAGGGAGGCCUGUAAAUAAAAGGUUAGAGUCAGGUGAAGUUUUGUUUGGAUGAAGUUUGGAGUGUUCUAGGGAGCCAGCUGGAACCACAGAACUGAUGGAAAACUUUCACAGGUGGGUCCCACUGGAGGUGUGCUGGAAGCAGGGAUGUGCAUCCCUUUCCUGAGGGAAAAGAACCUGCAGAGGCACUCCUGAGGCUCUGAGAUGGAGUCAGCUCCUGCAGGGAGAGAUGUCCUCCCCUGGGCACAGGGGCUGCCUCAGCACGGGCCAGGAGCCAUCACCUUCUCCUGCUUUAAAAUUUCAACUGGAGCCCGAGCUCAGGGGGAUGAAAUCAGCUGAAUUCCAGGGAACUCUGUCAAGUGUCCCCCAGGGACAUCAGUGGGGCUGGGGGAUGAGGGUUAUAAAUAACAAAUUCUAUGGAAUACAAACCUGUCCUUGUCCUGGAACCUCUGCUGGUUCCUGCCACAGCUGCUGUUCAACGGCAGCUCUACAUGGGAAUGUCCAGACUCCACAAGGCACUGUUGGGUUAUUCCAGCAGGAAUUCAGCAGGGAAUUUGGGGCUGUGGGUAUAAUUCAUCUGAAACAGAAAAGCUGAUACUGACCCUGAGAUCUGGGUGCCACACCGAGAACAAUCCCUGUGCUGCCCUGUCAGCUAAAGCCCCUGGGCUGGGAAAUUCCAGCAGCCAAAUGCAUGGAAUGAUGGAAAUCCCAACAUCCCCCAGAGGGACAAUCCAAGCCCCAGGGUCCUUCCCCUGCUGCUGGCAGGACAAAUUCCCCUCGGCUCGGCGGGGCUUGGGAGCAGGAGGGGCGGGAGAGCAGCUCGGCUGCCCGGGAAGCGCCGGGACACGAGGCUGCUGGAAUCUCCUGAGUCACUGCAAACAUUCCCUGUAAAGCCAAGGCAGAUCUCUCCUAGCCAGCCUGGUGGGCAGCAGCUCUGGGGGAAAACACCCUGGCCCUGCCAGGAGCUCUGACUCUGCUUUUCCUGCCAGCUCCUGAGCAGUGUCAGGGCCACUGGGAAGGGAGCUCAAAUCCAAACAAAUCCCAUCGCCCAUGGAGUGGAUGAUCCUGACAGAGAAAUGAAGAUCUUAAAGAUCUGUUAAAAAGGCUGUGACAACACUGUGAUGGGAUUCCCAGGAUCCUUCUGAGAGAAGAACAUGAACUCACAACCAUCAAGGCCUGACAGUUCCCUGCAGUGAGAGCUCAGCACACAUGUCCACAGAGGCAAGUCCAGAAUCUGAAAGAAAGAAAGAAGAAGAAAAAGGCCCUGCUUGUGAGUCAUUCCAUGCUUUGCCAUUGGGACUUGGGACAAAGGAGGGGAAGGAUCUGUUCCACAUGGGUGUCAUCCAACAAGGAACAUCCCCUUUGCCAACCCCAGCCUGGAGACAGGAAAUUGUCCAGGUCAGGGUGUAAGACCUUAAACUGCACAUUGAUCUGGGGGGCUGUGACUGGGAUUCCAGCAGGGAAUUCAUUGUUCUACAAAUAUAAACUAUUCCAGGGAGCAGCACUAACAAGGUUGGGAGCUGCUGCUUCACCACCACGGUGUCAGCAAAGAGAGAAAACACAAAAUACGUGUCCAAAACAAGGAUAAAAUGAUUCCUCCUGCUUUUAGUGGGACCAGAACUUACUCUGCCCUGGAAUGACAAAGAACCCCCUCAGACCCCCAGAGAUGCCAGAGGGAGGGAAGACACCUCUGCCUCAUCUGCUGGGGACAGCAUGGGCCCUGCUGUCCCCAGGAACUGGGAAUAUGUCCAGAGCCAAAAGCACCUUCCCAGGCUGGAGGGGCUUUCCUAAAGCACCACCCCUGGGAAGCAAAGGGCUAUGGAAGAAAGAGUGGGAAUUCACAAUACUAAUCAUAAUGAUAUUGUGAUAGAGCAGCAAUGGAAGCAACAGUAAUUCCAAGGGAGCAGGAGGGAUGCUGGGCUUUAAAUGGGGUUUGAGUGAGACAGCAUCUCCUGGGAGUUCUAAAGCACAGCUCCAGGUCUGGGAUCACAGGAGUGGUGCAAACUCCUAUUGCCCAAUCCCUGGAUUUGCCUCCUGCCAGUACUUAGUACCUUGGUCAUGUUUGGAUGCAAGUACUCCAGUUCUGCUGCCUCAAGGGAUUGGGAAAAUGGGCAUUAAACCCCUUCCCUCAGGGCUGGCUCUGAGCUCUGGCUGGGGAAAGCAUUUGGCAGCCCUGGCAUUUCAAUGAAAUCAGUUUCCAUCAUUUCCUGAAUAAACCCAAGGCAGAAAAAUAAACCUUUCUCCAUAGGGACAGCCCCAGGGAAUACACAAUCAUUCCUAUUCCUGGUCAAAGAAACCAGCAGCCACUUUAGGGGAGAGACUCCAAACUCUUGUCUCUCUCCCUGUCUGUAAAACACUUGCAGAGGCUUUAGAGCUCAUACAAGCUUGUCAGGAUUUGGAUACUCCAUUUAAAUUCCAUUCAUAUGCUACAGAAUAGGAAGUGUCCUAAAGGCACCUCCACUCAUUCUUGAAUUUUAAGUAUGAGUGGAGGUGCCUUUAGGACCAAUGAAUUUGGAUAUUCUUUUGUUAGGAACACCCACCUCAGCUUCUUUAGGCAACUCCAUGUGGGAGAUAAAAUAAAUGUGGACAAAAGUUUGGAAUGCAACUUCCAAGUCAAGUUCCCUGCUAGGAAAUGACUCCAGCUCUCUGCUACCUCAGGCUGUUUAACCACAGCCUGGCCCUUCAGGGCUGCAGACCCUCAGCUACACAAUUUGGGAGCUGGCAAGUAACAGCAGCUGAGGUCUCAUUCCAGCUGUACCCAAGAACAGGGGCUGCAUUUGGAUAAGUGCAGACAGGUUUGGGCUACUUCAGAAAGCUUCAACCCCUGUUUUUCAGAGAUUCCAUCAGGGAUAAUGACCUUUAUACAAAUCUCUUCAAGGCACAUGAGAACCUGAGUAAGAAAAUGAACUCAACCCCUUUGUUCCAUUGGCCCCACACCCCAAAUUCCAAUGGGACAGACAAGUUCCUCUCCUUGAAAGGCAACAUCUCCUACCUGGCUCUGUGCCUUCCCCAGCCUUUGGUGGCUGCUGUCUCCAU
Molecule: non-coding RNA, 3875 nt
Organism: Taeniopygia guttata (zebra finch)
Lineage: Eukaryota; Metazoa; Chordata; Aves; Passeriformes; Estrildidae
Source: RefSeq, a predicted model, not a curated record